GCAAUUUCCUCCGAAUUCCGGAAGUAUUCGCACGCCUUCUUGCUCCCAUUCAACUUUUUCUUCGUUUUUACCAUUCCUCCCACCAUUAUUUUCUAAAACUUCAUUGUAUUCACCAUGUGUAAAACUCUAUCUUUCCAUCAUUUUCAAACC
Non-coding RNA from Caenorhabditis elegans, 150 nucleotides. The record is from Ensembl. Lineage: Eukaryota; Metazoa; Nematoda; Chromadorea; Rhabditida; Rhabditidae.